GUGUCUAGAAAAGAAAGGAAAAAAGGGGAGAUCUGUAGUGUUUCCAGACUUAUUUAGCGCCUUGCCCCCAGCCAACAUCUGCUUUCCUAGCUGGCAAAGGAGCCCUGGGUGCCUCAGUUGCACAGACUGAUCCAAGAGGGCAGCCAAAGCACCAGGAGUAACACCAGCUUUCAGUGCAGCCAAAGAACACGGGCAAGACUGAAGCAGACAGCGAGCUGAUGUAUGCAUAGGACUGAUCCUGUUUUAAAAUAUGCUCAGGCACAAGAAGACCCUUCCUUGAAAGAGCAAGGAAGUCAACUCUCAAGACUGUUGCCUCUUAACCACAAAACUGUGGUUAAAGCCAGAUCCACUUUUAAGUCUUGCAUCGCAGAGAAUCGUCUAUUGGUCAUUACCUAUAGAUUAAUAGACCAAUAUACAAGAGUGCCAUCAAGCAAAGGAAACUGUUUGACUUUGUUCAGUUUAGUCAGAAACACUACUGUCACGUAUAAUAUCCACUACAGAGGUGUUGAAGUGGCCAUGGCCCAAACAACGUUUGUUCUGCAGCAGUAAGGAAGGAAAAAACGCCUUGAAACAGAUCCUUACCCUACGUGUAACCACAAAAUCAGCUCACAUAUCAGGCAGCUAAUUUUUUUUCUGGGAUCUGUCACAAGCAACCCACACCUGCGCUCCUGGCAGCUCCUCACGCCACCUUGCCCUAUGAACGUACAGGCGACGUGGCAGUCGGAGAACAAACACAGAGAUAAAAAAAAUAAUUAAGAAAGUCAGUCUGGUGAAACAGUAGAGCAAACAAAGGAGAGACUUCACCCAGACGUGAUAGCAACUGCCAGCCUGCCCAAGAAACCGGAGGAGGAAGGAGGGAGCAAUAUUGUAGAAAAACAGGAAGCAUUGCCCUUCUCUGCGCAGAAAGCGGCUCUCAUGCACAGGAAACUUUCCAAGUAAGAGCCACCCCGCAUUAGAGAGCAGAAAUGAUGACGGCACUAGCAUUUGGUGGUCAUCACCUGGCCUUCCUCACCAUUAGAUGUUUCCAAAGAUCUUUAGAGUCCCCAGCCAUGCAAUGCUACCACGCUGUGCCAGGACACAAGAAGCAGAAAGUGUGACCUAGCUGUCACAGUGGCUCCGUUUCCUGCGUGGAAGAGUUGUGGGACAGAAAACCAGAAUAUUUGUGUGUUCACUGGUGCAAACCGGAUUACAUCGCUCUCUUUCCUCUUCAUGUCCCUCCAUUACUCACAUCACCCUUUAAGCCAACAGACAGUGUGGGACCACCACAAAGUUGACUACCAUCAUCUCCAUCACAGAAAAAGGGCUAAGAAGAUUCAGCCUCUUUUCAACUAUUCUGAUCUGACAGAGCUGAUGUAGCCAUGGAGUUUGCUCCAUCUUUCUUUAUCUCCCAAAGCAAAAUUUAUUGUUCUAGUCUUUUUCACUUGGUUUACCCAGGACAAGUAUGAGUCUUGGAAAGCACAUGUGCUCCAGCCUAAUGCCAAGUAGGUCACACCUACCAGAUGUAUCCCCAUUGCUGCCCAAGAUAGUGUUGGGUCUUCUGUUACUACCUGCCCAAGGGAACACCUGCGCUAGGAAAUCCAGCAGCCUCGUUAAAGCCCCUUGUGACCGAGCUCUUCAAGGGGCAGUGUUUGUGCAGACCUGCUGUUCACGCUUUUUGAAGUGUCAGAGCAUUCCCAACUCAUCACUCCCUGAAGGGGGGGGACUGCCAAAAAGCAAGGAGCAGCGAGAAGAUGGCACGGUUGGCCAUUCUGCAUGUAAUUUACAGUUCACUUUCUGCAUUAGUGAAUGAGCCGCCUUUGUGAUAGUGCUGAAAAGAGCUUCUCAAGUGCCACAAGAUUCACCAUGCUGGAAGCAGGGACAGCACCACUGCUUUAGAAGCUGCCUCUGGCUCUUACGUUCAGCCACUCACAUGGGCAUUGACAGAGUCCCAGGGAUACCAGAACCAUAACGGUGGCCUGGCAACCCCAUAACCUACCCUCAUGAACUCAUCACAUCCAACUGCUAGACACACUGAGCUUGUCUGCUUCAAGCCCUUCUAAAUGUAGGAGAAAAGCUGUUCUCUAUUAGCGUAGUAACCACUUCAUCCUUCCUCAGGAAAACACCUCUCACCCAAUUGCUUGCCUGUAUUUGAGUAGACAUUACCUGGCAUAACUACCCUCCCAGCUACCACCAGAAAUUCUGCCUUUCACGUGCCUGAGCAAGCUACCUAAGGUCUGCUGUGAUUUUCCUGGGCAGGAUUAAGCGGGUUUCCAGCUCACACGCUGACUGGAUGAUCUCCUUUAACUCACACGCAAGGACCCGAUACCCUUGUGAACAUUACAGAUGUCCUUAGUCCUUCCUGCUAUCCGACAUGGUUGACCCAGGAAUUCCCAUAUCCUCUUUCUGACCAUAGCAAGGUCACACCACUGCAGCUUCAAGAUCUUUUUUUCAAGUCCACAUUGUCCAUAGAGCACUUUGCCCUUCACCUGUGAAGAUGACAUUUGUUGAUGUGUUCUUCAGUCCUAUCAUGCUCCUUACAUCCAGCAUCCACGUUGAGUAGCAGCGGGAGGCUGAAUCUUCCUGGACUUGACAGACUACUGCAAGGCUGAUGACAACCAGCAUUAACUGCACAUCAGAUGUGAGAAGAGCUGUUUCCCAACUUUCCCUGGACUUCAUUCAAAGCAACAGCUGGUUCAGACAAACUCCUGAGAAAGCUUAGCUUUCUGCCAACCAAGAAAAUCUCACCAUUUCAUAGAAGGCAUAUGCUCUCAGAUUGAAAGACAACCUGCUGUUGCUGCAGUCAUCCGGACUCUUCCAUGUUUUGGAUACUUAUGAGAAACACCUCCCCUUUCCAUCUCCUGACGGAAAGAUGACAUCCAAUCUCAAUUUGAAUUUUGAUGAGUCAAGAGCCUCAGACCUCUAGACACCUCUCUCUGGUGCAGCAUGAAACCUUUGGUGUUUCAGGGCAUAGCAGCAGUGUGCACUUCUGACAGCACAUCGCAAUUGGGGCUCCAUUCUCUUCACUACUUCCUUGGAAUCUUCAGUUCAAGACGGGAUUCAGUCUUCACUAUCAGGGUCCUCCUGCUUCCACUGAAGAACCCCACCAUGCUUUACGGAGCUCUUUCCUAUCUAGUCCUUUUGCUAUUGAUUUGCUAAGAAAAUGUCUGUCUACAGAGGGAAGAGGAGCUCACUUCCAGAGGUGGAUGCAAACGGGCUCCUGCAUCUCUCACGCUACUUCCUAAAGUUUCUGUUUGUACCAAAACUAUGCCCCACUGUUGCCUUUGCACCCCAGGUUGGCGCCAGGCAGCCAAAAGACCCAACGAUCUGUCAGGACACAUCAGACUCCUAAGCACAGUACCUGCAUGAACAGAUGUGAGGCGGGUGCUAGCUCUCUGUCUGUGUCAUAAUAUCCUGUUUUGUAGAUACUGCUAGAGCAGCAAGACUAAGAAAACAAGAUUAAGAUGUUGUCUGAAAUGCUGAUUUGAAGACUCAAAAUUAAUAACCUCGGUCAAUAAAGUGAUACAACAC
Molecule: long non-coding RNA, 3507 nt
Organism: Grus americana (Whooping crane)
Lineage: Eukaryota; Metazoa; Chordata; Aves; Gruiformes; Gruidae
Exons: 3
Source: RefSeq, a predicted model, not a curated record